Molecule: long non-coding RNA, 920 nt
Organism: Neogale vison (American mink)
Lineage: Eukaryota; Metazoa; Chordata; Mammalia; Carnivora; Mustelidae
Exons: 2
Source: RefSeq, a predicted model, not a curated record
UCGGCGGGCGCGGAGGAAAAGCCUGCGUCUCUGCUGGCAGAGGCGGCUUCUUUUGUGUGUGUAGGUUAGGCCUGGGGUUUGGGGGGCACAUCCCAGCUCUUUCCAGAGACGGUGUUUUCACGUUGCCUCUGGCACACUCAAACGUUUUGUACUAUUUUCAUUUCUCAGUUUUUCUCACGGUUCUCACCGCCAAGCCUUCUAGAGAGGUGGAAGUUUUAUGUCCGUGAUUAAAUUCGGAGUGUAACCCAGCAUUCUGUGAGGGCCUUGAGAGCGAAAACAAUGUUCUUAUCCCCGCAUCCUCAGAGACCCACAGUUUCAUCUGCCUAGUAAACGCUGGAUUCCCGUGGCUUGUUAUCUUGGGCAAUUUGCAAGCUACUUAGGUUAUUUGCAUGCCAUUUAUGUUUGCUUCUCUACCUCCCGUCACCUUCUCCUUUCAUCUCCUCUUUCCCCGUCCGUUGCCCUUCAGUUUUACCCCCUUAGAUCGCAGUUGGUUUUUCUCUGAAUACUUCAAACGCCUCCAACUUGAAUGCAGCCAUCCUAGAGCCCACCCGGCACGAUGGAGGCAUCUUGAGGCAAGGGGCUUCUCUCUUAGAACCAUCGAAUGUCUGAGCGAGAAGGGACCUGGAAGAGGCGUCAUUAGCUCCAAACAUCUAUUUUUCAAAUGAGGGAACUGAGGCCAAAUAGAAGAGUGUUGGCUAAAAUACGGAAAUCGCUCACACAAUGAUAAGCCAAAGAAGAUCCACCUGUCCUUGGUAUGUUGGAAGAAGCUUCGUUGGAGUCUUACAGACCAGUGUGGUGAUGUGGAUACCAAUUACUACUCCGUCAGUUUACCAGCUAGAUGGCCCCAGUCGAGUUACCCAGCCUCUCUCUCGUGUUCAAUUUUAGAAACUUCAGACUUGUAAUAAAAUAUACAUCACCAA